This 254-nucleotide ribosomal RNA is filed under the name uncultured bacterium. Its description in RNAcentral is "partial 16S ribosomal RNA". It matches the Rfam family "Bacterial small subunit ribosomal RNA", at positions 524 to 776 of the family's 1533-position model. The record is from RNAcentral.
UACGAAGGGGGCUAGCGUUGUUCGGAAUUACUGGGCGUAAAGCGCGCGCAGGCGGUCUUCCAAGUCAGUGGUGAAAGCCCGGAGCUCAACUCCGGAACUGCCAUUGAAACUGUAAGACUUGAGGAUGAGAGAGGUGAGUGGAAUUCCCAGUGUAGAGGUGAAAUUCGUAGAUAUUGGGAAGAACACCGGUGGCGAAGGCGGCUCACUGGCUCAUUACUGACGCUCAGGCGCAACAGCGUGGGGAGUCAAACAGG